UUCGAUGCAACGCGUAGAACCUUACCUGGGUUUGACAUGGAUCGGGAGUGCUCAGAGAUGGGUGUGCCUCUUUUGGGGUCGGUUCACAGGUGGUGCAUGCCUGUCGUCAGCUCGUGUCGUGAGAUGUUGGGUUAAGUCCCGCAACGAGCGUAACCCUUGUUCACUGUUGCCAGCACGUUAUGGUGGGGACUCAGUGGAGACCGCCGGGGUCAACUCGGAGGAAGGUGGGGAUGACGUCAAGUCCUCAUGCCCCUUAUGUCCAGGGCUUCACGCAUGCUACAAUGGCUGGUACAGAGAGUGGCGAGCCUGUGAGGGUGAGCGAAUCUCGGAAAGCCGGUCUCAGUUCGGAUUGGGGUCUGCAACUCGACCUCAUGAAGUCGGAGUCGCUAGUAAUCGCAGAUCAGCAACGCUGCGGUGAAUACGUUCCCGGGG
This 432-nucleotide ribosomal RNA is filed under the name uncultured Propionibacterium sp. Its description in RNAcentral is "bacterial SSU rRNA". It matches the Rfam family "Bacterial small subunit ribosomal RNA", at positions 950 to 1378 of the family's 1533-position model. The record is from RNAcentral. Lineage: Bacteria; Bacillati; Actinomycetota; Actinomycetes; Propionibacteriales; Propionibacteriaceae.